RNAcentral lists this ribosomal RNA (388 nucleotides) under uncultured bacterium. Its description in RNAcentral is "bacterial SSU rRNA". It matches the Rfam family "Bacterial small subunit ribosomal RNA", at positions 29 to 418 of the family's 1533-position model. The record is from RNAcentral.
AUUGAACGCUGGCGGCAUGCCUUACACAUGCAAGUCGAACGGCAGCACGGGAGCAAUCCUGGUGGCGAGUGGCGAACGGGUGAGUAAUAUAUCGGAACGUGCCCAGUAGUGGGGGAUAGCCCGGCGAAAGCCGGAUUAAUACUGCAUGAGACCUGAGGGUGAAAGCGGGGGAUCGCAAGACCUCGCGCUAUUGGAGCGGCCGAUAUCAGAUUAGCUAGUUGGUGGGGUAAAGGCCUACCAAGGCAACGAUCUGUAGUUGGUCUGAGAGGACGACCAGCCACACUGGGACUGAGACACGGCCCAGACUCCUACGGGAGGCAGCAGUGGGGAAUUUUGGACAAUGGGCGCAAGCCUGAUCCAGCAAUGCCGCGUGCAGGAAGAAGGCCUC